UUUUUUUUUUUUUUUUUUUUAUUCAUGAGAGACACAACGAGAAAGAGAGAGGCAGAGGCAGAGACACAGGCAGAGGGAGAAGCAGGCUCUAUGCAGGGAGCCCGAUGUGGGACUCGAUCCCGGGUCUCCAGGAUCACACCCCGGGCUGCAGGCGGCGCUAAACCACUGCGCCACCAGGGCUGCCCUGUUUAUGUGUGUGUAUAAUCUUAACAUCAUUUAUAUAACCUAAAAAAUUAAUAAUUUCUUGAUUCCGUAAGUUGUCUAAAGAUAUCAAAAUUCAUUACAAUCUUUUUUGAAUCAAGAGCCAAAUAAGACCAUAUUACAUAUGGCUGAUAAGCAUUAUAAAUCUCCUCCAGUCUCUUGUAGUGUUUUCAAACUAGAGUGCAUCAGAAUCCCCUACAAGGCUUAUUAAAACAGACUGCUGGGAUCCCCCCCAGAGUUUCUAAGUCUGGGGUGGCACUUGAGAAUUUGCACUUCUAACAAGUGCAAGGUGAUGCUGAUGCUGUAGGGUUUGGAGUCCACUCAGAUUUUAGUUCCUCACUGUUUAUUUCACUUCUCCCCUUGCAAUUUAUUUAUUGAAGAAACUGAGCUGUUUAUCCUGUAGAGUUUCCCUUAGUUCGGGUCUUGCUGAUUGCAUACCUGUUUUACUUAACUGUUUAUUGUCUCUUUUUGUGAUGUUAGCAGCUUUUUCCUUCUUUAUUUUAUUUUAUUUAAAUUCAACUUGCCAGAUGUUAGCAGCUUUUUGAUCCAUUAAUUAGUUGAGAUUAAAAAAUGAUGUUCUAAUUUCUUGUAUCUCUUCAGUUUAUUAAAAUCCUUUAUAGAUAGACCCUUCCCCUCCAUCUACUUUUGGUUACAGAAUGGUAAAUUUUUUGGGGGGAAAGCCAGAAUAAAAGUUGGAUUGUCUUGUCUUCAGAAUAAUCAGUCAUUCACUAGUGUGAAUGACUGUGGUGAACAAUUUUUGUGUGAGUGUGUGUGAUUAGCAGUUGAUUCACUUCAAGUCACUGAAAUUAUUUUUCUUGUGGAUACUGAAAUUCUACCAUUUUUAGCCAAUGAGAGGCUUUUGAAGUUGGCUUCUGGGUCCAUUUGGCAUGACUCUAGUUGUCAUUGGGAGCAUCCUUGCUGAGUGAUAUGACCAGAUGUUUCAGAACCAUCUUAAAUUUCCUGCCUGACUUGAAAGCAACACGUUUUCCAAGGAGGCCUGGUUCUUUUUUACUGGAAAAUGGUAUUUGGACACUGUAAUCAGAGCACUGAGGAUGCUCCCUGAGACUGGAUUGCUACGUUUCUAGGCCUUUUUUGUGGACUAAGAUAGGCAGUACGUUUUUUGUUGUCAUUUUAAGAUAA
RNAcentral lists this long non-coding RNA (1341 nucleotides) under Canis lupus familiaris (dog). Its description in RNAcentral is "lncRNA (ENSCAFG00000055199.1)". The record is from RNAcentral. Lineage: Eukaryota; Metazoa; Chordata; Mammalia; Carnivora; Canidae.